Molecule: ribosomal RNA, 433 nt
Filed under: uncultured bacterium
Lineage: Bacteria
Description: partial 16S ribosomal RNA
Rfam family: Bacterial small subunit ribosomal RNA
Source: RNAcentral
AACGAACGCUGGCGGCAUGCCUAACACAUGCAAGUCGAACGAGACCUUCGGGUCUAGUGGCGCACGGGUGCGUAACGCGUGGGAACCUGCCCUUAGGUUCGGAAUAACUCCCCGAAAGGGGUGCUAAUACCGGAUAAUGUCUUCGGACCAAAGAUUUAUCGCCUUUGGAUGGGCCCGCGUUGGAUUAGCUAGUUGGUAGGGUAAAAGCCUACCAAGGCGACGAUCCAUAGCUGGUCUGAGAGGAUGAUCAGCCACACUGGGACUGAGACACGGCCCAGACUCCUACGGGAGGCAGCAGUGGGGAAUAUUGGACAAGGGGCGAAAGCCUGACACAGCAAUGCCGCGUGAGUGAUGAAGGCCUUAGGGUUGUAAAGCUCUUUUACCCGGGAUGAUAAUGACAGUACCGGGAGAAUAAGCACCGGCUAACUCCGUG